CCUGGCACCAAUCUGGGCGCCCCUGAGUGCAGUGUCCUGUCUGUCCCUGCAUGACCCUCAGCCUGUCUGAGACGCCUCACAGAGAGACGCCCUGGCGUACCCCACAGGGAGGCCAGCCUGGAAGCUUCUCUGGAAAGUGAGCUUUGGCAGCUCGAGGCAGAGCAGUGGCUGACUCCUCCCUCGGUUAACACAGCCUGGCCCCAGCUGGGGUUCGCUUUGAGGCCCUGGGGCUCGCCCUGUUUCCUGCCAGGGGAGUGGGGCCCGAAGUUCCAUCCCAUCCCCCAAAACUCAGAUGUGGAAGCCCUAACCCCAGCGUGGCUGUACGUGGACAUGGGGCCUCUACGGAUUAAGGGCUGGGACUAACUGCGGAACCUCGUGUGACACCUAAGCCUGCGUGUCCUCACGCCCCAGCCUAGGGGCAGCCGUGGCUCCCCCAAGACGCAGAGGCUGGCUCCAACAUGGAUGGAGACAAACUCAGAAGGAACUGUCGACAGAGGCACCCAUAUGCUGGACUCAAGCAACGGGGCCCUCCGCUUCAACUGUAACCGACCACAGGUGGGAUCCAGUGCCCAGGACACUGUGUCUCAGGGUCUGUGACCACACAAAUGGGAACUGCUUGUGAAACCCCAGCCCAACCUCACUGCGGAAUGGCAGUGCGGAAAGGGUGGAGGCUCUGCAGGCAGACACAGGACACAGAUCUACGGGGCGUGUGUUCAAGGGUCCAGAGACACCCAGCAAAAUACCAACUGUGUCAGUCCAUGUCAACGGAGAACGCAGGUGCAGGGGGCGGGGGCUGAUUCAUACUCAUUCUCUUUAUUCCUCCCAGCAGCCCCAAGAGAAAGCAGCUGGGAAAAAGGCUCAGUCAGUGAUUUCCCCAAGAUCACACAGCACAAGAACAAAGCCUGGGUCAGCCAGUCUUAAAACCUGUGGGCCAGGCUGCCGUCACUUGCUCCCAAAUGCUGACAGGGGACACAUCUGAGUGAUGGGGUUACAAGGUUUGUUUUCCACGCUUAUCUGAUCUUCUUUAAAAAGCAGACAGACACACGGAGACAAUCCCACGCCUGCCCACGGAAUGAUGAAUAAAUCACAGCAGGACCAGGAGCAUGGCCCCGUCGGGGGAGGGUGGGGAGCGACAGCCACGGGACUCUGACAGACCCAGGGUGAGAUGGCGCAAGGGAGGUCAGCUUGGCAGCACGGCCCCUGCUGGGCCUGGAAUGUCCCACAUGCCCCCAGGUGAGGUUACAACACGAGGUGGGCACUCAAGCCUCACAGACAUCACAGCGUAAAAAAAGAACAACUGCCAGAUAAUUGCCAGAGCCCCUCCCAGUGGUGGCCACGCUGUCCCAUGGGAGCACUCCUGCCCCCUCUGGGUAGGAUUUCACUUGCUGGGUAAUUUUCCCGGAGGGGAAAUCUCCACGUUGCACAGUACUUCAGAGCUGCAGACUGGGAGGCAACCGGGGACUGGGACCUCAUGCCCUGUGAGGGACACACAGCCUCGAGGGGCUGCCGGUGGGGCCUGGGGCACGUACUCACCCUUCCCGAUCUGGACGAAGCCCAGCAGGAUGAUCAGGGCCAGGGCCAGGAGCUUGGCAGCAGCAAAGGCAUCCUGGACCCGGGUAGCGGCCUUCACGCUGUAGCAGUUCACGGCCGUGAGCAGCACUGUGGAGACAAGAGGGUGGCAGUGAGUUUCACGGGCAGAUGCCAGCUCUGGGGGAGGUCAGGAUGUGAUGACCCCAAGCCCACCCCAGGGCCAGGGCUGGGUCCACCAAAAAAACAAGCUCCUUAAACAGCUCCAGUCCCGUGCCAGACCCGAGGGCAGGUUCUGACUUUCUGGGACCUGUCUUGGUAAACCAGGUGCCCCUCAAGGGUUGUAAGGGACUUUUCCUCACCCCGCCCCCCGCCAACACCAGGCCACAGAGUCCCACCUACAGCCAGGGCUGAGUGGGGUCGCUGCCUCCAGAGACCCAGCUGAGCAAGGUGACCCUGCCGCUUGGAAGGUGCCCAUUACACCUUUUUGUGCCCACUUAGCACCCUGACGUGCCUGCCUGGGAGACCACCGCACAGCCCGGCUGCCAGACUCCACGAGGCCGGGGCCCUUUCCUCAGAGAGGAUCUUCUGUGGAUUCCAACAGAAGCGGGUUGUCCCGCUAUCCUGGAACUACCUGGCCAGUCACCUGGGGACGGCGGGGCACUGGCGCAGCCUGGCAGGGGCCACAGGGGCCUGUGGUGAGCAGAGCUGACCCUGCUGCCCUGUUGCUUUGGGGGCAUACGAUGAAACCCAAAAUAGCACCAUGUGCUUCAGAAGCCUGAGUGACUCCACACAGAUGGCCGGGACCCCUGCCCCAGAAGGCGCUGAGAUGUGCGGUCAGGCACGCUCAGACAGGUCUCCAGACACCAGCAAGUCCUCCUGGGCCCUAUAAGGCACCCAGCUCUGAGCCAGAGUGUGUGCGUGCGUGUGUGUGUGUGUCGGGGGUUUCUGUGGCAAUAUGUGGGCAGGCUGAGCCGCUAUUCGGGAUCUGUGAGCUGGUGGGGAAACAGCCACCCCCACAACUUAAAAUGAAGUAAAAGCCUAUUAACCCUGAGGCACUGACUCCCCGUCUCCCUCACUGCCUGCUGCACUACCCUUCACCCCUCUGUGCCCACAAGGUGAUUCGUAGCUGUUAGGAGCUUGAAAUCUGCCAGUGGGAACCUCUACACCCCAGAAGUGGGCACAGGCCCGGCCCGGGCCACCCGCACAGCGCGGCUCUCGCGGCCCUCCCGGCACCGCACUGCUCAGACUGUGGGAAGGUGAGAGCGUCGGAAAGGCCGCAGGCUCUUCUCUCUUUCCCCAUGGGAGUAACGCUCAGAAAGGUCUGGCCAGCCGAGGUCUUGGGGGCUCCAGUGGCUUUUCCCCGGCUGAACAAAUCCUGUGGAAUUUCAGAAUUUCAGCAACAGACCCCAGGAAAGAUAUCCACGCUAACUAACUGAUGACCCCAGCCAGCAAACAGACGGGAAACGUCCUGAGGUGCGGGCCGGGCCGCCCGCCUGCCUGCCUAUCUCUCCGAAAUUAACCACCCCAUUACAACUGGGUGGACGCCAGCGUGGAGAUGGCUACGACACGCCAGGAAAGUCUGGUUGAAAAAUGUCUGAAAGUCAGUGUUUUUGCUGCUAUUCCUAAAAUACUUGAAAUUCCCUUCCACUCCUCAUCCAAAGAGAAGAGGUGAAGAGUGGGAAACUCCCUUUUCCGAGGGCUCCCAGGGCCAUGGAGAUGUUACCAGUCCAGAGCUCUCCAGUCUAACCCUCCGGGCCCAGCAGGGUUGGGUCAGUGCGUCUAGGCAGCUCCUUCUCUGCCGCACAGGGUGAGGGGGCAGGUCCUGACCUGACACUCCCAUUUCCUCACGGUGUGCGUGUGUGUGGGGAGGUGUCCAUAAAAGAAACUGGGCCUCGGGGACCUUGCGGGCAAGCCAGGGAUUUCCGGAUUUGCAAGAGGCCGGCUGAUUGCAUCACUCGCUCAUUGAUGCCGGGAGGGAGGCGGGAGUAGGCGUGGCCAAGCUGCACUCAGGCCUUUCCCCAAAAGGGACACGCGGCACGCUGCCACCACUGAACUCCAGAAGCCAGACAGGCGCUGCCGGACACUGAGCACGGCCCCCGUGGCUAUCAUGUCUGCUGGGGGUUGGGGGGUUCAGGAAAGGCAGCGAUUUGCCCAGAAGUGCCCAACCAGCCACCAGGGCUGUCACUGUGGGUGGCACAGAGGCCAGGGCCCCCCUGCCAGCCUGACGCUGUCUGCCCAAAUCCAACCCAGCUGCUCCCCAACCAAAACCAGUCCUGAGGGGCCGGCGGGUGCCCUGGAUCAUCUCCUGACAUUAAAAAUAACCACAGGGCAGACAGGCGGGGCUGCGUUUUGGAAGUCAGGUGGGGAGCAAAAUGGCCACAGAACAAAGGGGACCUUACCAUAUUUAUUCCUUUUAUAACAAGAACAUAAAUAUUAAUGUUCACUGACUCUGAGUGAUGAGUAAAAACAAAGGCUUCAU
This is a long non-coding RNA of Piliocolobus tephrosceles (Ugandan red Colobus), 4009 nucleotides long. RefSeq lists it as uncharacterized. NCBI's taxonomy places the organism in Eukaryota, Metazoa, Chordata, Mammalia, Primates, Cercopithecidae. The transcript is spliced from 3 exons. The record is from RefSeq and is a predicted model, not a curated record.